AAUCAACGCUGGCGGCGUGCCUCAGACAUGCAAGUCGAACGAGAAAGUCCCCUUCGGGGGAUAAGUAAAGUGGCGCACGGGUGAGUAACACGUAGGUAAUCUACCUUCGGGUGGGGAAUAACCCAGGGAAACUUGGGCUAACACCGCAUAAUGCAGCGGCACCACAUGGUGACAGUUGUUAAAGCGGGGGAUUUCGACCUCGCGCCUGAGAGGAGCCUGCGGCGGAUUAGCUAGUUGGUAAGGGACGGCCUACCAAGGCAACGAUCCGUAGCCGGCCUGAGAGGGCGGGUCGGCCACACUGACACUGACAUACGGGUCAGACUCCUAC
This 328-nucleotide ribosomal RNA is filed under the name uncultured bacterium. RNAcentral's name for it is "bacterial SSU rRNA". It matches the Rfam family "Bacterial small subunit ribosomal RNA", at positions 32 to 342 of the family's 1533-position model. The record is from RNAcentral.